This is a long non-coding RNA of Oncorhynchus keta (chum salmon), 458 nucleotides long. RefSeq lists it as uncharacterized. NCBI's taxonomy places the organism in Eukaryota, Metazoa, Chordata, Actinopteri, Salmoniformes, Salmonidae. The record is from RefSeq and is a predicted model, not a curated record. The transcript is spliced from 3 exons.
GUUUAUUGUUUUUGUUAAGUUUUCACUAUUAAUAAAUUAUGUGGACCUCAACAUUCACUGCGCCUUGGUCCGUCUCUACAAACGAUCGUGACAGAAGGACCCCACAGAGACGAAUGAAGGAUGCCAACUUGUCCACUCUGCCCGGGCAGGCUGCACAAACUUCUGCAUGUCCGCAGAAGGUCCCCCUUGCCAUUUUAAUUGUGUGGAAAUAAGCUCUUAACAGCAAAAGCAAUGACGAGACCUUCAUGCUGCCCGUCUCUGUGUGAUUGAAGAAGGCAAUGAGCUCUGUCGGGUCUUUUUAAAAAUGGCAGGUGGGGAAGCAAAACCUACUGCGUGAUUGGGAAAAGGGGAAACAGCUUUAUUCACCCGAUCUGUCCAACUUAUCACCUCUAAAAUGUCAAUAAAACACUCUAAAGAGUUUAUAUAAUGUAUAGUUACAUACCUAUUUGAAGGUUUGU